CAGGGAAUCUUCGGCAAUGGACGAAAGUCUGACCGAGCAACGCCGCGUGAGUGAAGAAGGUUUCCGGAUCGUAAAACUCUGUUGUUAGAGAAGAACAAGGACGUUAGUAACUGAACGUCCCCUGACGGUAUCUAACCAGAAAGCCACGGCUAACUACGUGCCAGCAGCCGCGGUAAUACGUAGGUGGCAAGCGUUGUCCGGAUUUAUUGGGCGUAAAGCGAGCGCAGGCGGUUUCUUAAGUCUGAUGUGAAAGCCCCCGGCUCAACCGGGGAGGGUCAUUGGAAACUGGGAGACUUGAGUGCAGAAGAGGGGAGUGGAAUUCCAUGUGUAGCGGUGAAAUGCGUAGAUAUAUGGAGGAACACCAGUGGCGAAGGCGGCUCUCUGGUCUGUAACUGACGCUGAGGCUCGAAAGCGUGGGGAGCAAACAGG
This 429-nucleotide ribosomal RNA is filed under the name Gemmatimonadota bacterium. RNAcentral's name for it is "Gemmatimonadetes bacterium partial 16S ribosomal RNA". It matches the Rfam family "Bacterial small subunit ribosomal RNA", at positions 355 to 776 of the family's 1533-position model. Lineage: Bacteria; Pseudomonadati; Gemmatimonadota. The record is from RNAcentral.